This 459-nucleotide ribosomal RNA is filed under the name uncultured bacterium. RNAcentral describes it as "partial 16S ribosomal RNA". It matches the Rfam family "Bacterial small subunit ribosomal RNA", at positions 29 to 507 of the family's 1533-position model. The record is from RNAcentral.
AACGAACGCUGGCGGCAUGCCUAACACAUGCAAGUCGAACGAGACCUUCGGGUCUAGUGGCGCACGGGUGCGUAACGCGUGGGAACCUGCCCUUAGGUUCGGAAUAACUCCCCGAAAGGGGUGCUAAUACCGGAUAAUGUCUUCGGACCAAAGAUUUAUCGCCUUUGGAUGGGCCCGCGUUGGAUUAGCUAGUUGGUAGGGUAAAAGCCUACCAAGGCGACGAUCCAUAGCUGGUCUGAGAGGAUGAUCAGCCACACUGGGACUGAGACACGGCCCAGACUCCUACGGGAGGCAGCAGUGGGGAAUAUUGGACAAUGGGCGAAAGCCUGAUCCAGCAAUGCCGCGUGAGUGAAGAAGGUUUUCGGAUCGUAAAACUCUGUUGGUAGAGAAGAACGUUGGUGAGAGUGGAAAGCUCAUCAAGUGACGGUAACUACCCAGAAAGGGACGGCUAACUACGUG